CCGCGGGCCUGCUGCCGGGAGCGCUGCCCUCGCCGUCCUGCUCUGAAGAGCUGCCAGGACCUUCUGUGCCCGUGGCAGCGCGCUUCCUGGUCAUUGGGGCUGCCUAUGGAGCCCAAAAAAUGUCAGACUGGUCCAAAAAGUCGCACCUGCAGCUAGAAAAACCAACUGGUGCCAGACUAGCACCUACAGGGAAGCAAGUGACAGACUGCCAUUUUACAGCAAGAAGCCAAGCUAGCGGCUCUGCGUGAAAGAUGAAGAGCGGGGGAACCAACUCACCUGUCCGUCCGUGCCUCUGUGCUUGAGUCGGAUGUGUUUGUCCAGCAGGAAGCGGCUGCCAAAGCAACUUUGCAGAAUCUCCGUGGACUGGGUUAUCGGAUUAGCUUUAAGACUUUACAGAUGCCACGUGUGAAAGUUUCUUACUGGCAAUGGAAGACCCUCUUGUUGCCCUCAUGAAUGACUCUCUCGUGGCGUCUGAGGCUGGACGACGUGCUGAAGUUACCCCCGCAGAUACGACACGGGAACUGCGGUGGCGGGGGGAAAAAAAACACAGACUGCAGUUAAGUAGACAUUAAAUGCAAUGGCAAGGGUCAGUAGCCAUUUUUAAGGCACCUUGCCGUGCUCCAU
Phyllopteryx taeniolatus (common seadragon) is the source of this 624-nucleotide long non-coding RNA. RefSeq lists it as uncharacterized. NCBI's taxonomy places the organism in Eukaryota, Metazoa, Chordata, Actinopteri, Syngnathiformes, Syngnathidae. The record is from RefSeq and is a predicted model, not a curated record. The transcript has 3 exons.